AUACGGAGGGUGCAAGCGUUAUCCGGAUUUAUUGGGUUUAAAGGGUGCGCAGGCGGAUAAUUAAGUCAGUGGUGAAAUCCUCCCGCUCAACGGGAGAACUGCCAUUGAUACUGAUAGUCUGGAAUACGGUUGAAGUGGGCGGAAUGUAGCAUGUAGCGGUGAAAUGCAUAGAGAUGCUACAGAACACCGAUCGCGAAGGCAGCUCACUAAGCCGAUAUUGACGCUCAGGCACGAAAGCGUGGGUAGCGAACAGGAUUAGAAACCCCGGUAGUCC
This 274-nucleotide ribosomal RNA is filed under the name uncultured bacterium. RNAcentral's name for it is "partial 16S ribosomal RNA". It matches the Rfam family "Bacterial small subunit ribosomal RNA", at positions 523 to 796 of the family's 1533-position model. The record is from RNAcentral.